GCCGCUGUAGCUCAGUUGGAAGAGCGUCGGUUUUGUAGUCCGAAUGGCCGGGGUUCGACUCCUCGCGGCGGCA
This 73-nucleotide transfer RNA is filed under the name Caudoviricetes sp. RNAcentral describes it as "tRNA-Thr". It matches the Rfam family "tRNA". From Rfam's summary of the family: Transfer RNA (tRNA) molecules are approximately 80 nucleotides in length. Their secondary structure includes four short double-helical elements and three loops (D, anti-codon, and T loops). The record is from RNAcentral. Lineage: Duplodnaviria; Heunggongvirae; Uroviricota; Caudoviricetes.